Molecule: signal recognition particle RNA, 292 nt
Filed under: Otolemur garnettii (small-eared galago)
Lineage: Eukaryota; Metazoa; Chordata; Mammalia; Primates; Galagidae
Description: Metazoan signal recognition particle RNA (ENSOGAG00000032499.1)
Rfam family: Metazoan signal recognition particle RNA
About the family: The signal recognition particle (SRP) is a universally conserved ribonucleoprotein. It is involved in the co-translational targeting of proteins to membranes.
Source: RNAcentral
GCCAGGCGCUGUGGCGGGCGCCUGUAGUCCCAGCUACUUGGGAGGCUGAGGCAGGAGACUCGCUUGAGCCCAGGAGUUGGAGGUUGCUGUGAGCGUGAUGCCAUGGCACUCUACCCAGGGGGACAGCUUGAGGCUCCGUCUCAAAAAAAAAAAGAAAAUUAGAAUCUAAUUAGUAUAAAAGCUCUGAAAGCAUAAUUAUUUUUUACUUUUUUUUUUUUUUUUUUGAGACAGAGCCUCAAGCUGUCCCCCUGGGUAGAGUGCCAUGGCAUUACAGCUCACAGCAACCUCCAAC